Molecule: ribosomal RNA, 409 nt
Filed under: bacterium
Lineage: Bacteria
Description: partial 16S ribosomal RNA
Rfam family: Bacterial small subunit ribosomal RNA
Source: RNAcentral
UGGGGAAUAUUGCACAAUGGGCGAAAGCCUGAUGCAGCGACGCCGCGUGAGGGAUGACGGCCUUCGGGUUGUAAACCUCUUUCAGCAGGGACGAAGCGCAAGUGACGGUACCUGCAGAAGAAGCACCGGCUAACUACGUGCCAGCAGCCGCGGUAAUACGUAGGGUGCAAGCGUUGUCCGGAAUUACUGGGCGUAAAGAGUUCGUAGGCGGUUUGUCGCGUCGUUUGUGAAAACCAGCAGCUCAACUGCUGGCUUGCAGGCGAUACGGGCAGACUUGAGUACUGCAGGGGAGACUGGAAUUCCUGGUGUAUCGGUGAAAUGCGCAGAUAUCAGGAGGAACACCGGUGGCGAAGGCGGGUCUCUGGGCAGUAACUGACGCUGAGGAACGAAAGCGUGGGUAGCGAACAGG